Leopardus geoffroyi (Geoffroy's cat) is the source of this 1159-nucleotide long non-coding RNA. RefSeq lists it as uncharacterized. The record is from RefSeq and is a predicted model, not a curated record. NCBI's taxonomy places the organism in Eukaryota, Metazoa, Chordata, Mammalia, Carnivora, Felidae. The transcript has 2 exons.
UCAGAUGUUCAACCAACUGAGCCACCCAGGUGCCCCCAAGCCCAACUUUAAAGCCAACAAACAAAUUAGCCAAGCUUGGGCUUAAAACAAGCAGGGAUGGCUUCUGGAAUGGAUCCCACUGGAGACUCAAGAGAGAUGAGCCUUCUCCAACCCCUCUCCUUCCAUCCCCCAGCUCUGAGGUGAGGAGGGAAAGUGAUCCAUGAUGAAAGACUCUUUCAAAGCCACUGCCAGGCAAAUGGUGGAACCCUAAGUCAAAGUCAGGUCCCUGAAGGGAAUCUAUUAGUGUGCAGUCUUCUCUCAUAAUCAGCUUCAGUGGUCAGGGUCCCCAGGGAGCAUGGAACUGAAAUGAGACUUGGAGGGUCUCUCUAGUAUUUGUGCCUGGGAAAGAACAUGAAAGCCCAAAACUAUUCCCCCAAAGCCAAGUUUCCCAACAUAUACACAAACACACAAGCCAGUCCACAGGAAAGCAAGAUGAUCUGAAAGUCCUCCACUUAACCCAGGGGCAAACCCCACCAAGCGUCUGUGUGUGUGUGUGUGUGUGUGUGUGUGUGUGUGUGUAGGGAACGUGAUCUAACCAAGGCAGAGUCAGGGGAUUAUUUCCUAUGUCCCUGAUGGAGAUCCCAUACUCAAGGUCAAAGUUCUUUCCAUGAGUUUGGGGCUAUAGAUAGUGGGAGCAAAUCAGAGACGAGAAGUCAAACCCUAACCCUACUCCAUUACGAUUGGUUUCAGACUUACACAUAUCAUGGGAUAACCUCCCACAUAGGGAGAGAAGUCUUGGACUGCUUAUCUACCCUAACUUCCUCUCCUCUCCCACACUUAAUUCUCCUCUCCUAUUUUGCCUGACCCCACUAUAGUAUGUGGAGGCACCAACCAGAGACAGCAUAGAGGGAUUCAGCCCUCCCCAAGACUUUGGGGCAUUGUGGCCUGAAAUAGCAACUCUCUGAGUACCCCUUCUGGUCCUGUGAAAGGCCCUGGGGCCACCUGCUGGUGUCCUGAGGUGGGAGGGUGGGAGAGCAGCAACUUGGCCUCACAGAGGGGCCCUCUUAGCAGCCUGGUCUCCAGGAACCUUUGGGAGAGGGGCAAGGGUAAGUCAUUGAGUGAGCCCAGAUAACUUUCCCAAGGUUACAACGAAUUGAAGCAAUUAGUUCUGAAUCUGGGA